ACGUGUAGGCGGGAGGGUGCAUUCCGUUUUAAAGACUCCGGCUCAACCGGGGGACUGGGCGGAAGAUGGCCCUUCUUGGAAGACUUCCGGGGCAACUGGAACUUUUGGUGAAGCAGUGAAAUGCGUUGAUAUCAAAAGGAACACCAAUAGCGAAGGCGGGUUGCUAGGAGGAUCUUGACGCUGAGACUCGAAAGCUAGAGGAGAGAAGCAGAUUAGAUACCUGCGUAUUUCUAGCCGUAAACGCAUGGGUGCUAGAUUCUCGUCCCGCUAAGGGCAUCAUAAAUAGUGUCUUUGGCGGGAUGAGAGUCGCAAGCUAACGCGUUAAGCACCCCGCCUGGGGAGUACGAACGCAAGUUUAAA
This 360-nucleotide ribosomal RNA is filed under the name uncultured bacterium. RNAcentral describes it as "bacterial SSU rRNA". It matches the Rfam family "Bacterial small subunit ribosomal RNA", at positions 567 to 898 of the family's 1533-position model. The record is from RNAcentral.